UAGACAAAAUUGAAGAUGCUCAAGAACUUAUAUUCACUAAAGAGCCUGAUCUGUUGAGAGCAUUAAUUCCAGUUCAAGCUAUGCAUCUUACCAUUAUUGUAGCUGAUCUGAGAACAGAAGAUGUGAAAAGGGCUAUUUCUGCUCUUGAGAAAAGUAAGGCCAAAGUGGAAGCUCCGUUGCAAGGGAAAUGCUUCACAAUAACAUUUUGUGGGAUUGGUCAGUUUAACAACUAAGUGAUAUAUGUUAAAAUAUUAGAGGAAGAUGAACAAAUAUUAAACAAAAUUGCAGAAACUGUGGAGAGCUCAUUUAAUGAAAUGAAUAUAGAUAUCAUAGGCAGCAAAGACUUCAAACCACACUUGAUGUUUCUGAAGCUGUCCGAAGCACCUGCACUGAGAUGGAAGGGCUUUAGAAAAAUCUCUGCGGAUUUAUAUACAGUGUAUGAAGACAGCCUCUUUGGCACAGAAAUCUUUGGGCAAAUCGAUCUGUGUGCUAUGUAUGAAAAGAAACAGGAUUCUGGUUACUAUCACUAUGAAUGUUCAAUUAAUAUAUGUCCUGCUAGUUCAGAAAAGCAAGAAGAUUUGCAGACGGAUGAUCUGAAAGAAAAUGUGAUUGGUGCUUCUCUGAAUGAUGGUGCAUUUGGACAUAUUGGAAAAACACCCCUCAAUCAACAAUCGAGUUCAAAUGAAUGACAAACUACUUCAAAAUCUUGAUGGUGAUUCAGCCAUGACAAUAAGGGAAGAAACUGAUAUGCAAAAGAUAGAAGACAGAGCCAAGGAUGAAAACUGCUGCAGCUUUCCUAGCAGAUACCUGAAUUUGCACCAGCAAACCCAGAAGAAUUAAAGGAUGAGGAACAAGAAAAAGCCAAGAUGACAGAUGGUGACUUUGGCACUGUUGCAGCAAGAGAACAGGCCUCUCAGCAGCUUACACAAAGGUACCAAGUGUGCCAACCUUCCACUACAAGCAGAGGAAAAUUGCCCCUGGGAACGCAAAGAAAUGUGUAAAGACUGUGCAGCAAGAGAGAGAGCUGCAAGAGAGCAGACUUAAUACAGACUUCUAUUUGAAAGGAAAUAGAAAGUUAUUUUUUAAAACAAAAAACAAAGACACCUGAAAACAUCAGGUUUAUUCCUAAUAAAAGGGUACAUGUGAAAGCCCUCCUAAAAAUAGCUGAAUUGUGUGAGGAGGAACAAAUGAGUUUCUGUUUCCAGUAUAAAUACAUAUGAAUUAGAAACAUAUUAAUUUUGUUUUAAAAAUUAAUUUAAAAAACAGUUUGAAUUUGUUUUUUAUAAUGUGGAUAUUUAAUAGGGAAACAGUUUCAAUAUUUAGAUGGUUUGAUUUUUGUAUUAAAGAAGGAAGCUUUAUUUCAAGAUACUUGCUUAAAGGUGUGGUUAAGAGUAAGUGAUAGCAAGUUGGAAAAAAUUGAUUUUGAAAUAUAUUAAUUAUUAGAUUAAAGUUUAGCUCAAGAAACCUUUAAAACAGGAAGAAACAUGAUGAUGAAGAGACUGUAUAUUAAUAAAUGCAAGGGAUGAAACCAUUAAAUGUUUGUAUUGAUAGAAUUUGCAAUAGAUGUGUGAGCCAAAUUAUUCUGAAUUAAACAAUUCCACUGAGGUGACUUGGCAAAAACAAGACAUAAGAUAUAUUCAGUGGAGCAUCCUAUAGUACUUUAUGCUGCAAGACUAAAUACUGAGGAUGCAGUAAAAUAUUUUGACCAGUAGAUGGCACAAACGGGGAAAUCUGGCUAGACCUGAAGGAAAGGAAGUGAUCCAGAAUCCACUUGAAAAGUUGGAAAUGUAUUUUACUUUAGUGCUGAUGCUUCAGAAACACAGCAGGUAAUUAAAAGAAUACAUUUGCACGUGUUAAAAAUGACAUGCUACCCUCAGUUAAUCUAUCAUACAUCGUGACUUUCAAUGUUGGUGACAAUAAAUAAAGAAGACCUUGUAUCUCAAA
Heteronotia binoei (common prickly gecko) is the source of this 1944-nucleotide RNA transcript. It is a transcript of the gene named A-kinase anchor protein 7-like, with no coding region annotated. The transcript has 4 exons. NCBI's taxonomy places the organism in Eukaryota, Metazoa, Chordata, Lepidosauria, Squamata, Gekkonidae. The record is from RefSeq and is a predicted model, not a curated record.